CCCCUUCCUACAUGAGUGAGAUCAUAUGGUAUUUGUCUUUCUCUGACUUAUUUCACUUAGCAUAAUACACUCUAGCCCCAUCCACAACAUUGCAAGUGGUUUUCCUUAUUAAUGAAGAUCGGAAGAGCACAGGUC
Herpailurus yagouaroundi (jaguarundi) is the source of this 135-nucleotide long non-coding RNA. RefSeq lists it as uncharacterized. The transcript has 3 exons. NCBI's taxonomy places the organism in Eukaryota, Metazoa, Chordata, Mammalia, Carnivora, Felidae. The record is from RefSeq and is a predicted model, not a curated record.